UUACCCGCUGAACUUAAGCAUAUCAAUAAGCGGAGGAAAAGAAACUAACAAGGAUUCCCCUAGUAACUGCGAGUGAAGCGGGAAAAGCUCAAAUUUAAAAUCUGGCGGUCUUUGGCCGUCCGAGUUGUAGUCUGGAGAAGUGCUUUCCGCGCUGGACCGUGUAUAAGUCUCUUGGAACAGAGCGUCAUAGAGGGUGAGAAUCCCGUCUUUGACACGGACUACCAGUGCUUUGUGAUGCGCUCUCAAAGAGUCGAGUUGUUUGGGAAUGCAGCUCAAAAUGGGUGGUGAAUUCCAUCUAAAGCUAAAUAUUGGCGAGAGACCGAUAGCGAACAAGUACCGUGAGGGAAAGAUGAAAAGCACUUUGGAAAGAGAGUUAAACAGUACGUGAAAUUGCUGAAAGGGAAACGCUUGAAGUCAGUCGCGUUGUCCGGAACUCAGCCUUGCUUUCGCUUGGUGCACUUUCCGGAUGACGGGUCAGCAUCGAUUUUGACCGUCGGAAAAGGGCUGGAGUAAUGUGGCACCUCCGGGUGUGUUAUAGACUCCGGUCGCAUACGGCGGUUGGGAUCGAGGAACGCAGCGCGCCGCAAGGCAGGGGUUCGCCCACUUUCGCGCUUAGGAUGCUGGCAUAAUGGCUUUAAACGACCCGUCUUGAAACACGGACCAAGGAGUCUAACAUACCUGCGAGUGUUUGGGUGGCAAACCCGAGCGCGUAAUGAAAGUGAAAGUUGAGAUCCCUGUCGUGGGGAGCACCGACGCCCGGACCUGACGUUCUCUGACGGAUCCGCGGUAGAGCAUGUAUGUUGGGACCCGAAAGAUGGUGAACUAUGCCUGAAUAGGGUGAAGCCAGAGGAAACUCUGGUGGAGGCUCGUAGCGAUUCUGACGUGCAAAUCGAUCGUCAAAUUUGGGUAUAGGGGCGAAAGACUAAUCGA
This 930-nucleotide ribosomal RNA is filed under the name Phylloporia weberiana. Its description in RNAcentral is "partial large subunit ribosomal RNA". It matches the Rfam family "Eukaryotic large subunit ribosomal RNA", at positions 21 to 938 of the family's 3401-position model. Lineage: Eukaryota; Fungi; Basidiomycota; Agaricomycetes; Hymenochaetales; Hymenochaetaceae. The record is from RNAcentral.